This 460-nucleotide ribosomal RNA is filed under the name uncultured bacterium. Its description in RNAcentral is "SSU rRNA". It matches the Rfam family "Bacterial small subunit ribosomal RNA", at positions 26 to 518 of the family's 1533-position model. The record is from RNAcentral.
AGAGCGAACGCUGGCGGCAGGCCUAAUACAUGCAAGUCGAACGGACCCUUCGGGGUUAGUGGCGGACGGGUGAGUAACACGUGGGAACGUGCCCUUUGGUUCGGAACAACUCAGGGAAACUUGAGCUAAUACCGAAUGUGCCCCCAUCCUUAAACAAGAUGGGUGGGAAAGAUUUAUCGCCAUUGGAGCGGCCCGCGUCUGAUUAGCUAGUUGGUGGGGUAAAGGCUCACCAAGGCGACGAUCAGUAGCUGGUCUGAGAGGAUGAUCAGCCACACUGGGACUGAGACACGGCCCAGACUCCUACGGGAGGCAGCAGUAGGGAAUCUUGCGCAAUGGGCAAAGCCUGACGCAGCCAUGCCGCGUGAAUGAUGAAGGUCUUAGGAUUGUAAAAUUCUUUCAGCGGGGACAUAAUGACGGUACCCGCAGAAGAACGCCCGGCUAACUUCGCGCCAGCAGCCGC